RNAcentral lists this ribosomal RNA (301 nucleotides) under uncultured bacterium. RNAcentral's name for it is "partial 16S ribosomal RNA". It matches the Rfam family "Bacterial small subunit ribosomal RNA", at positions 509 to 809 of the family's 1533-position model. The record is from RNAcentral.
CAGCAGCCGCGGUAAAACGAAGGGUGCAAGCGUUACUCGGAAUUACUGGGCGUAAAGCGUGCGUAGGUGGUGGUUUAAGUCCGUUGUGAAAGCCCUGGGCUCAACCUGGGAAUUGCAGUGGAUACUGGGUCACUAGAGUGUGGUAGAGGAUAGUGGAAUUUCCGGUGUAGCAGUGAAAUGCGUAGAGAUCGGAAGGAACAUCUGUGGCGAAGGCGACUAUCUGGGCCAACACUGACACUGAGGCACGAAAGCGUGGGGAGCAAACAGGAUUAGAUACCCGUGUAGUCCCUGUCUCUUAUAA